GAUGAACGCUGGCGGCGUGCCUAAUACAUGCAGGUCGAGCGAACGGACGAGAAGCUUGCUUCUCUGAUGUUAGCGGCGGACGGGUGAGUAACACGUGGAUAACCUACCUAUAAGACUGGGAUAACUUCGGGAAACCGUAGCUAAUACCGGAUAAUAUUUUGAACCGCAUGGUUCAAAAGUGAAAGACGGUCUUGCUGUCACUUAUAGAUGGAUCCGCGCUGCAUUAGCUAGUUGGUAAGGUAACGGCUUACCAAGGCAACGAUGCAUAGCCGACCUGAGAGGGUGAUCGGCCCCACUGGAACUGAGACACGGUCCAGACUCCUACGGGAGGCAGCAGUAGGGAAUCGUCCGCAAUAGGCGAAAGCCUGACGGAGCAACGCCGCGUGAGUGAUGCAGGUCUUCGGAUCGUAAAACUCUGUUAUUAGGGAAGAACAUAUGUGUAAGUAACUGUGCACAUCUUGACGGUACCUAAUCAGAAAGCCACGGCUAACUACGUG
This 497-nucleotide ribosomal RNA is filed under the name uncultured bacterium. RNAcentral describes it as "partial 16S ribosomal RNA". It matches the Rfam family "Bacterial small subunit ribosomal RNA", at positions 28 to 507 of the family's 1533-position model. The record is from RNAcentral.